GACGAACGCUGGCGGCGUGCCUAAUACAUGCAAGUUGAGCGCUGAAGGUUGGUACUUGUACCAACUGGAUGAGCAGCGAACGGGUGAGUAACGCGUGGGGAAUCUGCCUUUGAGCGGGGGACAACAUUUGGAAACGAAUGCUAAUACCGCAUAAAAACUUUAAACACAAGUUUUAAGUUUGAAAGAUGCAAUUGCAUCACUCAAAGAUGAUCCCGCGUUGUAUUAGCUAGUUGGUGAGGUAAAGGCUCACCAAGGCGAUGAUACAUAGCCGACCUGAGAGGGUGGUCGGCCACAUUGGGACUGGGACACGGCCCAAACUCCUACGGGGGGCAGCAGUAGGGAAUCUUCGGCAAUGGGCGAAAGUCUGACCGGGCAACGCCGCGUGAGUGAAGAGGGUUUUCGGAUCGGAAAAAUCUGUUGGUAGGGAAGAACGUUGGUGAGAGUGGAAAGCUCAUCAAGUGACGGUAACUACCCAGAAAGGGACGGCUAACUACGUG
This 497-nucleotide ribosomal RNA is filed under the name uncultured bacterium. RNAcentral describes it as "partial 16S ribosomal RNA". It matches the Rfam family "Bacterial small subunit ribosomal RNA", at positions 28 to 507 of the family's 1533-position model. The record is from RNAcentral.